GACGAACGCUGGCGGCGUGCUUAACACAUGCAAGUCGAACGGAAAGGCCUGCUUUCCCUUGUGGAUUGCGGGUACUCGAGUGGCGAACGGGUGAGUAACACGUGAGUGAUCUGCCCCCAACUUGGGUAUAAGCCUGGGAAACUGGGUCUAAUUCCCGAUAGGACUGCAGGGUGGUGCCUGUGGUGGAAAACGAUUUUCUAGUGGUUGGGGAUGAGCUCGCGGCCUAUCAGCUUGUUGGUGGGGUAAUGGCCUACCAGGGCGGCGACGGGUAGCCGGCCUGGGAGGGUGGACGGGCACAUUGGGACUGAGAUACGGCCCAGACUCCUACGGGAGGCAGCAGUGGGGAAUAUUGCACAAUGGGCGGAAGCCUGAUGCAGCGACGCCGCGUGGGGGAUGACGGCCUUCGGGUUGUAAACUCCUUUCGACCGCGAGGAAGCCACCUGGUUGGAAGGGUGGUGACGGUAGUGGUAGAAGAAGCACCGGCUAACUACGUG
Molecule: ribosomal RNA, 494 nt
Filed under: uncultured bacterium
Lineage: Bacteria
Description: partial 16S ribosomal RNA
Rfam family: Bacterial small subunit ribosomal RNA
Source: RNAcentral